AAUGAAAGAGAUUCAACAAGACCCGGUGAAAUGAAAGCCUUAAGGCCAGAAAGAAGGAAGUCCAGGAGCAGGCGAUCUUGCUAAGAGCUCCUAUUCACUCGAAAGAAGCAGAUUCGUUCACAGAAUUUUUGCUAACAGAAAAGAAAGACAACUACCUUCUAGCCAGCAAAGCCUUUCUUUGAAGUAGACUAGUUGAACAAGAGGAAUGAAUGGAAUCACCCUCGAGCUGAAGCCAUGCCCGUAUCACCUCGUGAGCGGAUUUACCACUCGCUUCGCUAAAACUAGACCUAGACUAAACGCUACAGCAGCUAGACGACUACUACACGAGCUAGCAUACAUACUAGUCUAGAUUGAUUCGCUCGCUCGGGC
Molecule: long non-coding RNA, 369 nt
Filed under: Elaeis guineensis (African oil palm)
Lineage: Eukaryota; Viridiplantae; Streptophyta; Magnoliopsida; Arecales; Arecaceae
Description: long non-coding RNA (EGUI_LNC025081)
Source: RNAcentral